This 769-nucleotide ribosomal RNA is filed under the name uncultured bacterium. RNAcentral's name for it is "bacterial SSU rRNA". It matches the Rfam family "Bacterial small subunit ribosomal RNA", at positions 114 to 878 of the family's 1533-position model. The record is from RNAcentral.
UAUAUCGGAACAUGUCCGGAAGUGGGGGAUAACGUAGCGAAAGUUACGCUAAUACCGCAUAUGCCCUGAGGGGGAAAGGAGGGGAUCGUAAGACCUUUCGCUUUCGGAGUGGCCGAUAUCAGAUUAGCUAGUUGGUGAGGUAAAGGCUCACCAAGGCGACGAUCUGUAGCGGGUCUGAGAGGAUGAUCCGCCACACUGGAACUGAGACACGGUCCAGACUCCUACGGGAGGCAGCAGUGGGGAAUUUUGGACAAUGGGCGCAAGCCUGAUCCAGCCAUGCCGCGUGAGUGAAGAAGGCCUUCGGGUUGUAAAGCUCUUUCAGCCGGAAAGAAAUCGCACUUGCUAAUACUAAGUGUGGAUGACGGUACCGGAAGAAGAAGCACCGGCUAACUACGUGCCAGCAGCCGCGGUAAUACGUAGGGUGCGAGCGUUAAUCGGAAUUACUGGGCGUAAAGCGUGCGCAGGCGGUUUUUUAAGACAGACGUGAAAUCCCCGGGCUUAACCUGGGAACUGCGUUUGUGACUGGAAGGCUAGAGUAUGGCAGAGGGGGGUAGAAUUCCACGUGUAGCAGUGAAAUGCGUAGAUAUGUGGAGGAAUACCGAUGGCGAAGGCAGCCCCCUGGGUCAAUACUGACGCUCAUGCACGAAAGCGUGGGGAGCAAACAGGAUUAGAUACCCUGGUAGUCCACGCCCUAAACGAUGUCAACUAGGUGUUGGGGGAGGAGACUUCCUUAGUACCGCAGCUAACGCGUGAAGUUGACCGCCUGGGG